GAUGAACGCUGGCGGCGUGCCUAAUACAUGCAAGUCGAGCGAACGGACGAGAAGCUUGCUUUUCUGAUGUUAGCGGCGGACGGGUGAGUAACACGUGGAUAACCUACCUAUAAGACUGGGAUAACUUCGGGAAACCGGAGCUAAUACCGGAUAAUAUUUUGAACCGCAUGGUUCAAAAGUGAAAGACGGUCUUGCCGUCACUUAUAGAUGGAUCCGCGCUGCAUUAGCUAGUUGGUAAGGUAACGGCUUACCAAGGCAACGAUGCAUAGCCGACCUGAGAGGGUGAUAGGACACACUGGAACUGAGACACGGUCCAGACUCCUAAGGGAGGCAGCAGUAGGGAAUCUUCCGCAAUGGGCGAAAGCCUGACGGAGCAACGCCGCGUGAGUGAUGAAGGUCUUCGGAUCGUAAAACUCUGUUAUUAGGGAAGAACAUAUGUGUAAGUAACUGUGCACAUCUUGACGGUACCUAAUCAGAAAGCCACGGCUAACUACGUG
RNAcentral lists this ribosomal RNA (497 nucleotides) under uncultured bacterium. RNAcentral's name for it is "partial 16S ribosomal RNA". It matches the Rfam family "Bacterial small subunit ribosomal RNA", at positions 28 to 507 of the family's 1533-position model. The record is from RNAcentral.